UACGUAGGGUGCAAGCGUUGUCCGGAAUUAUUGGGCGUAAAGAGCUCGUAGGCGGCUUGUUGCGUCGUCCGUGAAAACCUGUGGCUCAACUACAGGCUUGCGGUCGAUACGGGCGGGCUGGAGUUCGGUAGGGGAGACUGGAAUUCCUGGUGUAGCGGUGAAAUGCGCAGAUAUCAGGAGGAACACCGGUGGCGAAGGCGGGUCUCUGGGCCGAUACUGACGCUGAGGAGCGAAAGCGUGGGGAGCGAACAGG
This 253-nucleotide ribosomal RNA is filed under the name uncultured bacterium. RNAcentral describes it as "partial 16S ribosomal RNA". It matches the Rfam family "Bacterial small subunit ribosomal RNA", at positions 524 to 776 of the family's 1533-position model. The record is from RNAcentral.